GGCUUUAUGGCCUGGUGGUAUGAUUCUCGCCUAGGGUGCGAGAGGUCACGGGUUCAAUUCCCGUGCAAGCCA
This is a non-coding RNA of Dendronephthya gigantea, 72 nucleotides long. The record is from the annotation of a RefSeq genome assembly. Lineage: Eukaryota; Metazoa; Cnidaria; Anthozoa; Malacalcyonacea; Nephtheidae.